Long non-coding RNA from Phacochoerus africanus (Common warthog), 313 nucleotides. RefSeq lists it as uncharacterized. Lineage: Eukaryota; Metazoa; Chordata; Mammalia; Artiodactyla; Suidae. The transcript has 3 exons. The record is from RefSeq and is a predicted model, not a curated record.
AUUGAAUAUAGUUCCCUGUGCUAUAUGGUACUGAAGACAUGACAGUAGCUGAAGAAGCAUAGAUGUGCCACCUGCUAUCACAGGGAUUCUGAUGUCUCUGAUGUGUCAGACCAAAAGUCAAUGUUUGUGCAUGGAAUUUGAAUGAAGGUAGCUCUGUGGAGCCAAGUUGUUCCUGCUCUUCGGAUGGGAUUUCACGGUCUAUCUGCCAACUUCUUAAGAGCACCCACUCCUUCCAGUUUUCCGGAUUUAUUCUGAUUACAAUUGCUCUUAGUCAUCUUAAUCUUGAAAUAAAGAGCUUUUGGGCCCAGCAGUG